RNAcentral lists this ribosomal RNA (1052 nucleotides) under uncultured bacterium. RNAcentral's name for it is "bacterial SSU rRNA". It matches the Rfam family "Bacterial small subunit ribosomal RNA", at positions 338 to 1397 of the family's 1533-position model. The record is from RNAcentral.
CCUACGGGAGGCAGCAGUGAGGAAUAUUGCACAAUGGAGGAAACUCUGAUGCAGCAACGCCGCGUGGAGGAUGACGCAUUUCGGUGUGUAAACUCCUUUUAUUAGGGAAGAUAAUGACGGUACCUAAUGAAUAAGCACCGGCUAACUCCGUGCCAGCAGCCGCGGGUAAUACGGAGGGUGCAAGCGUUACUCGGAAUCACUGGGCGUAAAGGACGCGUAGGCUGUUUUGCAAGUCAGAUGUGAAAUCCAAUGGCUCAACCAUUUGAACUGCAUUUGAAACUGCUAGACUAGAGUAUGGGGAGGGGGAGGAUGGGAAUUAGUGGUGUAGGGGGUAAAAUCCGUAGAUAUCACUAGGAAUACCUAAAGCGAAGGCGAUCUCCUGGAACAUUACUGACGCUAAGGCGUGAAAGCGUGGGGAGCAAACAGGAUUAGAUACCCUGGUAGUCCACGCCCUAAACGAUGAACACUAGUCGUCGGGAUGCUUGUCAUCUCGGUGAUGCACUUAACAGGUUAAGUGUUACCGCCUGGGGAGUACGGUCGCAAGAUUAAAACUCAAAGGAAUAGACGGGGACCCGCACAAGUGGUGGAGCAUGGGGUUUAAUUCGAAGAUACACGAAGAACCUUACCUGGCCUUGACAUGGUAGGAACCCUUAAGAGAUUAGGGGGUGCUAGCUUGCUAGAACCUACACACAGGUGCUGCACGGCUGUCGUCAGCUCGUGUCGUGAGAUGUUGAGUUAAGUCCCGCAACGAGCGCAACCCUCGUCGUUAGUUGCUAACAGUUUGGCUGAGCACUCUAACGAGACUGCCUUCGUAAGGAGGAGGAAGGUGAGGACGACGUCAAGUCAUCAUGGCCCUUACGGCCAGGGCUACACACGUGCUACAAUGGGGCGUACAAAGAGCUGCAAUACCGCGAGGUGGAGCCAAUCUCUUAAAGCGUCUCUCAGUUCGGAUUGUUCUCUGCAACUCGAGAACAUGAAGCUGGAAUCACUAGUAAUCGUAGAUCAGCUAUGCUACGGUGAAUACGUUCCCGGGUCUUGUACUCACCGCCCGU